UUAGUUGCAGAUGGAGCAUCUUCAAGAUUCACAAGUCCAUAUGUGUAUAUGACCAUAUGGAAAUGAGAAUCUUGAUGAUGCUGCAUCAGCAAUAGA
RNAcentral lists this microRNA precursor (96 nucleotides) under Zostera marina. Its description in RNAcentral is "mir-172 microRNA precursor family". It matches the Rfam family "mir-172 microRNA precursor family". From Rfam's summary of the family: mir-172 has been experimentally verified in Arabidopsis thaliana. This family is thought to target mRNAs coding for APETALA2-like transcription factors. The record is from Rfam by way of RNAcentral. Lineage: Eukaryota; Viridiplantae; Streptophyta; Magnoliopsida; Alismatales; Zosteraceae.